GUGCAGCCGCCGCGGUAAUACCGGCAGCCCGAGUGAUGGCCGGUAUUAUUGGGCCUAAAGCGUCCGUAGCUGGCCGAACAAGUCCGUCGGGAAAUCCACGUGCUUAACACGUGGGCGACCGGCGGAAACUGUUCGGCUUGGGGCCGGAGGACCCGAGGGGUACGUCCGGGGUAGGAGUGAAAUCCUGUAAUCCUGGACGGACCGCCGGUGGCGAAAGCGCCUCGGGAAGACGGAUCCGACAGUGAGGGACGAAAGCUAGAGUCUCGAACCGGAUUAGAUACCCGAGUAGUCC
This 292-nucleotide ribosomal RNA is filed under the name uncultured bacterium. RNAcentral's name for it is "partial 16S ribosomal RNA". It matches the Rfam family "Archaeal small subunit ribosomal RNA", at positions 455 to 747 of the family's 1478-position model. The record is from RNAcentral.